CAGAGGGUGCGAGCGUUGUUCGGAAUUACUGGGCGUAAAGCGCGCGCAGGCGGCCCUUUAAGUCUACCCGUGAAAUGCCGGAGCUCAACUCCGUGCACGCCGGGGGAUACUGGGGGGCUGGAGACAUGUAGAGGCAAGCGGAAUUCCGGGUGUAGCGGUGGAAUGCGUAGAUAUCCGGAAGAACACCUGAGGCGAAGGCGGCUUGCUGGGCAUGAUCUGACGCUGAGGCGCGAAAGCGUGGGGAGCAAACAGGAUUGGAUACCCUGGUAGUCCACGCCGUAAACGAUGGGCACUAGACGCGGGUGGGAUCGACCCCUUCCGUGUCGCAGCUAACGCGAUAAGUGCCCCGCCUGGGGAGUACGGCCGCAAGGCUG
RNAcentral lists this ribosomal RNA (374 nucleotides) under uncultured organism. Its description in RNAcentral is "bacterial SSU rRNA". It matches the Rfam family "Bacterial small subunit ribosomal RNA", at positions 526 to 896 of the family's 1533-position model. The record is from RNAcentral.